RNAcentral lists this unclassified non-coding RNA (341 nucleotides) under soil metagenome. RNAcentral's name for it is "partial contains 5.8S ribosomal RNA, internal transcribed spacer 2, and large subunit ribosomal RNA". The stretch from base 1 to 120 matches the Rfam family "5.8S ribosomal RNA", at positions 35 to 154 of the family's 154-position model. The record is from RNAcentral.
GAUGAAGAACGUAGCAAAAUGCGAUAAGUAAUGUGAAUUGCAGAAUUCAGUGAAUCAUCGAAUCUUUGAACGCACAUUGCGCCCGCCAGUAUUCUGGCGGGCAUGCCUGUUCGAGCGUCAUUUCAACCCUCAAGCCCCCGGGUUUGGUGUUGGGGAUCGGGCUGUACUCCAGCCCGGCCCCGAAAUCUAGUGGCGGUCUCGCUGCAGCCUCCAUUGCGUAGUAGCUAACACCUCGCAACUGGAACGCGGCGCGGCCAAGCCGUUAAACCCCCAACUUCUGAAUGUUGACCUCGGAUCAGGUAGGAAUACCGCUGAACUUAAGCAUAUCAAUAAGCGGAGGA